UAGGGAAUAUUAGUAAUGGGCGAAAGCCUGAACUAGCAACACCGCGUGUGCGAAGAAGGCCUUCGGGUUGUAAAGCACUUUUUGAGAGGAUGAGGAAGGACGGUACUCUCAGAAUAAGUCUCGGCUAACUACGUGCCAGCAGCCGCGGUAACACGUAGGAGGCAAACGUUAUCCGGAUUUACUGGGCGUAAAGCGCGUGUAGGUGGUUUGGUAAGUAGAGCGUGAAAGCUCCUGGCUCAACUGGGAGAGGUCGUUCUAAACUGCCGGACUAGAGGAUGGUAGAGGGCGGUAGAAUUCCAGGUGUAGCGGUGGAAUGCACAGAUAUCCGGAGGAACACCAGUGGCGAAAGCGGCCUCCUGGACCACUCCUGACACUCAGACGCGAAAACUAGGGUAGCAAACG
This 402-nucleotide ribosomal RNA is filed under the name uncultured prokaryote. Its description in RNAcentral is "bacterial SSU rRNA". It matches the Rfam family "Bacterial small subunit ribosomal RNA", at positions 355 to 774 of the family's 1533-position model. The record is from RNAcentral.